Molecule: long non-coding RNA, 244 nt
Filed under: Gossypium barbadense (sea-island cotton)
Lineage: Eukaryota; Viridiplantae; Streptophyta; Magnoliopsida; Malvales; Malvaceae
Description: long non-coding RNA (GBAR_LNC015505)
Source: RNAcentral
CCAUAAAAAAAAUUCUGAAUUUGCCCAUGUCUAUGGAUUUAGUUAUGCACAACUAUCACGAUAUGUUAUCCGAAUAUACUAUUUUAUUUGAAACAAUACGAAGGUAUUGUUAUAUGUAGCAGAGGUGAUCAUGGGCUAGCCUGGGCCAGUUUCGAGCUGGGCCCAAGUAAAAAUUUAGACUCGUUUGCUAUGAUCAGACCCGGCUCGACUCGAAAAAUGAGCCUAAAAAUUUACCGAAACCUAG